RNAcentral lists this ribosomal RNA (253 nucleotides) under uncultured bacterium. RNAcentral describes it as "partial 16S ribosomal RNA". It matches the Rfam family "Bacterial small subunit ribosomal RNA", at positions 524 to 776 of the family's 1533-position model. The record is from RNAcentral.
UACAGAGACCCCGAGCAUUAUCCGGAUUUAUUGGGCGUAAAGCGUUCGUAGGCGGUUUUGUAAGUCAUUUGUUAAAUCCUCAGGCUUAACUUGGGGGCUGCGGGUGAUACUGCAAGGCUAGAGAGUGGGAGAGGUAAGCGGAAUGCCCGGUGUAGCGGUAAAAUGCGUUAAUAUCGGGUAGAACACCAAAGGCGAAGGCAGCUUACUGGAACAUUUCUGACGCUGAUGAACGAAAGCGUGGGUAGCGAAAGGG